GAGGGUAUAGCUCAGUGGUAGAGUGCAUGCUUAGCAUACAUGAGAUCCUGGGUUCAGUCCCCAGUAACUCCA
Molecule: transfer RNA, 72 nt
Filed under: Camelus bactrianus (Bactrian camel)
Lineage: Eukaryota; Metazoa; Chordata; Mammalia; Artiodactyla; Camelidae
Also listed under: 2 other names
Rfam family: tRNA
About the family: Transfer RNA (tRNA) molecules are approximately 80 nucleotides in length. Their secondary structure includes four short double-helical elements and three loops (D, anti-codon, and T loops). Further hydrogen bonds mediate the characteristic L-shaped molecular structure. tRNAs have two regions of fundamental functional importance: the anti-codon, which is responsible for specific mRNA codon recognition, and the 3' end, to which the tRNAs corresponding amino acid is attached (by aminoacyl-tRNA synthetases). tRNAs cope with the degeneracy of the genetic code in two manners: having more than one tRNA (with a specific anti-codon) for a particular amino acid; and 'wobble' base-pairing, i.e. permitting non-standard base-pairing at the 3rd anti-codon position.
Source: Rfam by way of RNAcentral